UCGGGAAUUUUGGGCAAUGGGCGAAAGCCUGACCCAGCAACGCCGCGUGAAGGAUGAAGUAUUUCGGUAUGUAAACUUCGUAAGAAUAGGAAGAAUAAAUGACGGUACUAUUUGUAAGGUCCGGCUAACUACGUGCCAGCAGCCGCGGUGAUACGUAGGGACCAAGCGUUGUUCGGAUUUACUGGGCGUAAAGGGCGCGUAGGCGGCGUGGUAAGUCAUCUGUGAAAUCUCCGAGCUUAACUCGGAACGGUCAGAUGAUACUGCUGUGCUAGAGUACAGAAGGGGCAAUCGGAAUUCUUGGUGUAGCGGUGAAAUGCGUAGAUAUCAAGAGGAACACCUGAGGUGAAGACGGGUUGCUGGGCUGAUACUGACGCUGAGGCGCGAAAGCUAGGGUAGCAAACGGGAUUAGAUACCCCCGUAGUCCCUGAGCGGGCUGGCAAGGCGCAU
Molecule: ribosomal RNA, 447 nt
Filed under: uncultured bacterium
Lineage: Bacteria
Description: bacterial SSU rRNA
Rfam family: Bacterial small subunit ribosomal RNA
Source: RNAcentral